RNAcentral lists this ribosomal RNA (253 nucleotides) under uncultured bacterium. Its description in RNAcentral is "partial 16S ribosomal RNA". It matches the Rfam family "Bacterial small subunit ribosomal RNA", at positions 524 to 776 of the family's 1533-position model. The record is from RNAcentral.
UACGUAGGGGGCAAGCGUUAUCCGGAUUUACUGGGUGUAAAGGGAGCGUAGACGGCAGAGCAAGUCUGAAGUGAAAGCCCGCGGCCCAACUGCGGGACUGCUUUGGAAACUGCCCGGCUAGAGUGCUGGAGAGGUAAGCGGAAUUCCUAGUGUAGCGGUGAAAUGCGUAGAUAUUAGGAGGAACACCAGUGGCGAAGGCGGCUUACUGGACAGUAACUGACGUUGAGGCCCGAAAGCGUGGGGAGCAAACAGG